Molecule: ribosomal RNA, 498 nt
Filed under: uncultured bacterium
Lineage: Bacteria
Description: bacterial SSU rRNA
Rfam family: Bacterial small subunit ribosomal RNA
Source: RNAcentral
CAGGAUGAACGCUAGCGGCAGGCUAACACAUGCAAGUCGAGGGGCAACGCGAGUAGCAAUACUUGGCGGCGACCGGCGCAAGGGUGCGUAACGCGUGAGCAACAUGCCCGUAUCAGGGGGAUAAUCCAGGGAAACUUGGUCUAAUACCCCAUAGUAAUUUGUAAGGCAUCGUUAUAAGAUUUAAAGCUUUGGUGGAUACGGAUUGGCUCGCGUGACAUUAGCUGGAUGGUAAGGUAACGGCUUACCAUGGCUAUGAUGUCUAGGGGUUCUGAGAGGAAGGUCCCCCACACUGGAACUGAGACACGGUCCAGACUCCUACGGGAGGCAGCAGUGAGGAAUAUUGGACAAUGGAUGGAAAUCUGAUCCAGCCAUGCCGCCGUGAAGGAAGAAGGUCCUAUGGAUUGUAAACUUCUUUUGUAUGGGAGCAAUAAGGCCUACGAGUAGGUUGAUGAGAGUACCAUACGAAUAAGCACCGGCUAACUCCGUGCCAGCCGCCGC